CAGACUCUGUUCGCAUCCACCACUCGAUUGCCUAAGACUAUCGCCGGCAACACAGUGGUGCUUCCCCCACAUAACAGGCAGCUCCCCGACCUUUCCUUUUAGCCACAGAUGAAAGACGCGUGUGUGCGUGCGCCUGGCUAGUGCACGCACUGCUCGUGGAAAACCAGGGUGCAUUCCGGAGCCAGGCGACGUGACGAUUGCAGAAAGGUGCACGAGGCAGAACCCAUUAGCGAGCUGCGUGUUGCUCAAACCCGAGGCCCUGGCGGGCAGAGUGCGCCGUGCGCCGGAACGCACUGGGCUGUGGCGGUGACUAAUAAUGCAGCCGGGGAUCUGCUCACAUCUCCCCCCGGGUGUGCCUAUUUUCAUAAGCUAAUAACUCAAGCAUGAACAUUGUUUCAGGCUGAGAACUGGCGACAAGAAAAUGAGGAGCCAGGAGGGGAAGGAGCCACAGAGGUCUGCAGCCUCCCGCAUCUCAAGGAGACUCUGGCUGGUCAGGACACAGGUGCCCAUUAUCAUCCCACGGGACAGAACAUAGAAUGAAUGCAAGUAGACGGCGUGCGCUCUGGUGCCCGGCUUCCUGCUCUCAGCACAAUGUUCAAGGUCACCUGGUUUGUGACCCUUUCCUUCCUGCACAGAGCUGGUCCACGGUGUGGCCUCCUGUCCAUGAGCACCUGGGCUAAUUUCAAGCUUUGGCCAUGAUGAGUACAACGAAGGAGAGCGGUUGACUUUGGAUAGAUUUUCUUUUGUGCUCUGAAUGAACCUUCGCCUGAACUGAGUGAAAGCCGUCCUUCACCCGUGCUUAGCCACAAAUGCCGGAGGCUGCCCUACCUGUCCAGCCAGGGAAGAUGGGUCCCUUCCUCCUGAUCCAAGGAAGAAGGCCCUCAGGUCCGGCAUCCCGGCAGCAGGAGGCCACGGCCUCACCCGCAGCAGCCCCGCCUGCCACUCCGGGAUGCUGGUGCUCAGUCCAGCAGGUCCAGCAGGAUAUCUUCAGACCAGAGGCCCCUGGCAUGAGGUGACGCUGCCACUGAACACAGAUGUAGCACCACACUGGGGCAGCUGAGGCUGGGCAGGACCUCCCCCAUGGACACUGGCCCCCAGACACUGGCCAAGCAGGGUCACUGGCCGGGAGGAGACAGAUGGCGUCCACCUGGGUACCGACCAGGAUCCUAGGAUUCCCGGGAUCCCAGGGGCUGUUCCUGGCAGACGCAGGCAGUUCAUGUCGUCUUGUUCCGUAAGGGUGGUGCCCAGGCCAUGGGGUGUGUGACCGACCGGUUUGCAGAGUGGCAGACGUUGGACUGUGCACGGUCUCUGGCCGACACGAGGGCUGCGGGUUGAAGGCCUCCUGGGCACACGCAGCUGAGGCCCUCAUGACAGCCUUCGAGGGUGAGCUCCCAGAGCCCGGGUCCCAGGGCCAGGCCGGGCAGGCGCUGGGCACACGCAGCUGAGGCCUUCAUGACAGCCUGCGAGGGUGAGCUCCCAGAGCCCGGGCCCCAGGGCCAGGCCGGGCAGGCGCUGGGCACACGCAGCUGAGGCCUUCAUGACAGCCUGCGAGGGUGAGCUCCCAGAGCCCGGUCCCCAGGGACAGGCCGGGCAGGCGCCCUGUGGUCCUGAUAGACCCUGUUGGACUGUUUCACACGCAGCUCGGACUGACGCAGAGGAAUGGCUGUCCCCAAGCCCCUUCUGGAAUCCAGUACCUGAGCUCGUGGGGACAGUGUGAACGGCCGGUGGUGGCAGGUGCCCUGCCCUGACUGUGCUGCUCUUGUGGUCUCCGCAGCGGCCAGGUGCCACCAGUGUUCCCGCCGCUCGACCCGCCAGCUCGCGGCCUUCACCCCCUUUUCCGCUGGUUUCUAGAAGCCUUGGUAAAUGCUGGGGACACGGGCAGCCUGUCUGAGAGAUGACUCUGGAGGACUGUUCUCCAGCGGGCACUUGCUCCGUGUUUGCUUUGGCAGGUUCGGCCUACGUCUGACACAGUCGUUUUCGUCAAUAUUUCCCUCCUUGGUUUCGUGGUGUUUAUGAAUAUAAAGACGUUCCCCCUUCUGAUAUGAAAAGAAGUUAUUUUCUUUCAGUGCUUUUAUUUUUUUUUACAUUUAUAUAUGUGAUCUAUGUAGACUUUAUUUAGCUAUAGAAUGUGCGGUUUGGACUGAAAUCUCUUUCUUUUUGGAUGGUUGUCCCAUUGC
Molecule: long non-coding RNA, 2177 nt
Organism: Sciurus carolinensis (gray squirrel)
Lineage: Eukaryota; Metazoa; Chordata; Mammalia; Rodentia; Sciuridae
Exons: 5
Source: RefSeq, a predicted model, not a curated record